RNAcentral lists this ribosomal RNA (497 nucleotides) under uncultured bacterium. RNAcentral describes it as "partial 16S ribosomal RNA". It matches the Rfam family "Bacterial small subunit ribosomal RNA", at positions 28 to 507 of the family's 1533-position model. The record is from RNAcentral.
GACGAACGCUGGCGGCAUGCCUAAUACAUGCAAGUAGAACGCUGAAGCGAGGAGCUUGCUCUUCUUGGAUGAGUUGCGAACGGGUGAGUAACGCGUAGGUAACCUGCCUUGUAGCGGGGGAUAACUAUUGGAAACGAUAGCUAAUACCGCAUAACAAUGGAUGACACAUGUCUUUUAUUUGAAAGGGGCAAUUGCUCCACUACAAGGUGGACCUGCGUUGUAUUAGCUAGUAGGUGAGGUAAUGGCUCACCUAAGCGACGAUACAUAGCCGACCUGAGAGGGUGAUCGGCCACACUGGGACUGAGACACGGCCCAGACUCCUACGGGAGGCAGCAGUAGGGAAUCUUCGGCAAUGGGGGCAACCCUGACCGAGCAACGCCGCGUGAGUGAAGAAGGGUUUCGGAUCGGAAAGCUCUGUUGUAAGUCAAGAACGGGUGUGAGAGUGGAAAGUUCACACUGUGACGGUAGCUUACCAGAAAGGGACGGCUAACUACGUG